This 253-nucleotide ribosomal RNA is filed under the name uncultured bacterium. RNAcentral's name for it is "partial 16S ribosomal RNA". It matches the Rfam family "Bacterial small subunit ribosomal RNA", at positions 524 to 776 of the family's 1533-position model. The record is from RNAcentral.
UACGUAGGGUGCAAGCGUUGUCCGGAAUUAUUGGGCGUAAAGAGCUUGUAGGCGGUUUGUCGCGUCUGCUGUGAAAUUUCGGGGCUCAACCCCGAACUUGCAGUGGGUACGGGCAGACUAGAGUGUGGUAGGGGAGACUGGAAUUCCUGGUGUAGCGGUGAAAUGCGCAGAUAUCAGGAGGAACACCGAUGGCGAAGGCAGGUCUCUGGGCCGAUACUGACGCUGAGGAGCGAAAGCAUGGGGAGCGAACAGG